This is a long non-coding RNA of Macaca fascicularis (crab-eating macaque), 1607 nucleotides long. The record is from Ensembl. NCBI's taxonomy places the organism in Eukaryota, Metazoa, Chordata, Mammalia, Primates, Cercopithecidae.
CCACCGUGCCUGGCCCUUUUUUUUUUUUUUCUGACAUAGAACGAAGAACUGCACGUGGCUUCUCUGUCUCUGUGGAAAAACCAUCUCAGGUUGGCGGCAGAUGCACCCUCAUCAGAGGGGGUCAGCGGCUCUGGUCCUCGGAACUGGUUCCUCUCUCCCACCCUAAGGGCAGCCCUCCAUGGUCCUGUCUGUCCCUCUGAAGUGUGUCCAUCCUGACCUGCAGGUCCUCAGCUGCUCCCACGCUCAUGCCAGCCCGGAGAGGACUGGUCCCGAUCACUGCAGACGUGCUGGCCUUGGUGUGUGCGGGGCUUGCCUGGGCUGGGGAGCUGUGGGGGAGCUGCCUUCGUGGGGGGCGCUGGGGAAGUAUGUCCCAGCGGCCUCGGGGUGUAAGGAGCGCUAGUGCCUUGCCCACAGGUGCCGGACCAUCUGAUGUGAUGCGAACGCUCUUCCCACAUACAUCAAACACACUUGUUACGUGAGUGUGCCCAGGGCUUCUGAUUCUGGGCCGGCCUGGCCUGGGGGUUGAGGGUCGGCAGUCAGUGAGGAAGCCAGAAGAGGCAUCCCAGCCUUCUCCCCCUACCAGCCCACUCAGGGCCUUGCUGCCCAUGGGCUGAGCCCCCCUACAACCCUAGUCAAUGGCCGUAUCCUGCAGGGCCUCUGCCACAUCUCAGCGGCCCUGGGUGAAUGGCUGGCUGCUCACCAGCUCCGCACGGAGAGCUGGGGACAGAAUCUCUGGCUGGGGAGGGGCCGCUGGAGCUGCUGGACCCUGGGGUCUCCCGAGGUGGCUCAGGGGAGCAGGCAUCUUGGGGUACCCCGGGUUGAAGCAGAGGCUGCACGUGGAAGAUGGCCCGAGUCAGCGGAUGGUGCUGGUCAGACAGGGCCGUGGUCCUGGGCGCAUCCAGGGGCCCUGUCAUGGCCACCCUGGGGACCCUGCUGGGAAGGGUUUGCACCAGCCAUUUCCUGGGCUCGUAGAUCUAGCAGGAUGUGAUGGGUGGAGGUGGGCUGGGCCUGUGCCAUGGGCCAGAGCGUCACUGGGGAGGCCCACGCUGUCAUCAGAACCCUCCCCCCAGUGCCUCCCCCACCCAAGGGCUUGCUCCCUCCGCAUCCUGCUCACUGCACCCACCGCCUACCUGCCUCUGAGUCCUGCACUCACCUGGCCACCAGGACAGGGAUGGCUGUCAGGAUGUAGUGCUCCCGGGAGCAAGCCAGGUGCUGCUGUGAGGAGACACUUGAGAGUGUUGGUGCGUGUCCACACACCUGUGCAUGCCUGUGUACACUAUGGAUGCCCAUGCACACCUGUGUAUGACUGCACACCUGUGUAUCACUGCACACCUGUGUAUGACUGCACACCUGUGUAUCACUGCACACCUGUGUAUCACUGCACACCUGUGUAUGACUGCACACCUGUGUAUCACUGCACACCUGUGUAUCACUGCACACCUGUGUAUGACUGCACACCUGUGUAUAACUGCACACCUGUGCAUGCCUGUGUACACUAUGGAUGCCCAUGCACACCUGUGUAUGCCCAUGCAUGCACACCCCCAUGUAACUCCAUGUGCACACUUGGGUUCUGCCAGUGGGGCAGUCCAGGGAUAAAAGACUCCUGA